UGUUUUUUUUUUGUAAAUUCAUUAAAGGGAAGCAAAAUUUUAACAGAAAGAAAGGGAGGGGUGAAGAAAAAUAUUCAUUAUUCUAUGUUCCCGAGUUCGAAGGAAAUGAAAAGAAAAUUUUAAGUUUUUAUGUUACCGAAUUAAAAAAAAAAAUAAAAUAGAACUUAAAUUUUUUAUUUUUCUCACUUUUUUCCCAAAUCCACCUAAAGAAAUUUUGGAAAGAAAAUAUUCCAUUAAUGAUUCCCUCCUAUCACUUCCGUUAAUAAACUCCUAACACGAUUUCCCUUCCACACCCCUCGUUUCCCUCCGUUUCCUCCCGCUUCCCUCCGUAGAACUCGGGAUCCUGACGAUUCAAAGGCGGUGGUAUGCAUCUUUAGGAUAACAAAGAUAUCAUAUCGGAUCCCGCUUCGAUUACCGUUAAUUUUAAUCUCUCAUCGCCUUCGACCAUCCACUGCCGCAUUUGUAAGCAGCGCCUUCUUGCCCUUAGCAUCACCAUUGCUUUUAGUUUCAGGCCUUAAACCCCACUCUCUGCGCUUCCGGUAGGAGAAGGAGGGCUGGAGUCCGAAGAGGGCGCAUGUUGUGAAGCGGGAAACACAACUUAACGGCGCUUGAGGGGAAAUCGACAGCGAAUGGUGACGGCGAUGAGCAGCAGAGCAGGGAGCUGAAAAAGACAAACUUUUCUGAUGUCCACCAUUUUUUUCGAUAUCAAUCAGAAAGAGGGAAAGCGAAAAGAAGGAUUGACUCAAAAUGGGUUAAUUCUUUUCAUUUGCUGAAUAAUUCUUGCACUAUCUUUUUUUAGGGUCGAUAUCCAAAGAUGGAUUUCAGGUUUCACUCUUAUUUACUGAUUUCGUACCGGUUUUUGUAUGUUGAAUAGGAACAAACUUUCAAUCUGAUCCUUCUUCAUUUGUACACUACGGGACUCCAAUAUAUGAUGACAAGAAUGGCAGUUGUUACUGCUGCAUAUUUUGGUCAAUAUGUCAUCCAAGCAUGGUUGGUUUCACCUGCUUUGCAUAACUUUUAUCCUUAGAGUAAGGGUACAUCUGCUGACAAUGACAUUCUAACCAUGUGUAUCAAAAUUGCCCCUGCACUUAAAGGGUUGGGUUUUACUAGAUGGUUUACCCGGUUAUCUAGCUUCCCAUGGAAAUGCUGCACUAACAACCUUGGUAUGUUAUGUUUUUUUUUUUAUCCUUGAUCUUAUUGGAUAUUUGGAACGAGGAUUGUUUUGUAUGUCAAUGAUAUUUCUAUGAUUAGGUAAAAUUAUCAAAAUGAAAUGUUGAAUAGCCCAACAUCUAAUAAAAGGAGGUUUGAAGCUGAUUAUUAUUGAAUCUUUGACAAUUUAUCAUGUGAAAAGCCAUUUACAGGUAUGUCUUACAAGCAAUUUAUUGGUCACUCACUUAAUAUGGACAACUAUAUAUGUCUGUUUCUUUUUUACUUAAUCUGGAAACAAUGAUUUAAUGGUCACUUAGUCUCUUUCAAACACUUUAUCUAAAGCAGACAUCUUCACUCAUAAACAGCCCUAAAAAAGAUGUUGACUUUUGAGGUCAAUUGUCUUAAAAAAAAGUCCUGAUAAGUCCCCUUCAACAUUUUAUAAUAAAAAUAGUCAACACUUCAGAUUUGAUGUUUCUCUAUUACUUUGAUUUGAGAAAUAUAGAACAAGGUACAAGCUAGAGUUAUCUGAAGGUAAUAAAUGUUAUAUCAUUAAUCAUCCUUUAGAAUAUAUUUUUAGAAAUUACUCAUGAUCUUUUAUGUGUUAAAAAUUGAAAUAUAACUGAUCCUUGAACAACUUAAUAUAAAACCAUACCAAAUUCUGUUGUUUUAUGGAACUAAUGGAUUCAUACUAAUUUUUUAAUUUUUUUUUUUAUCAAGAAAAGGCUAAUAUUUGAUUUAUUUUUAUAAAAAUGUUCAAUACAUGAACAUCAGACAAAAGCCUACUUCUAUUGAUAAAAUGGUAGCUAUGGAUAUCAAAAACGAGUUAGUCUCUUUCUCUUUCUCUACACUUGUGUGUCCAAAAGACGUUAGUACCCUAGAUGUGGUAAUGUUUUUUUUUUGCUAUAUUAGAUUUUUUGUUGCGUUCCAAUAAAUAACAUUGGAGCUUUGAAGUUGUAUUGUUGUAAAAUAUGAUAAUCAAGUAUUUGUUUACUAUGACUUUUAGUUAUUGGUGUGAUCUAAAGGAAACUUGCCAAAUUUCAAAAUUAAGGAUUGUCAUAUAUGUGUGUUCCUAAUUUCCCCAGGUUGUGGACCAUAGCCUUCAUCCGCUACAAGUUUACAACCAAUUUCCUUCUAUUCGUUUUGUUAUUAAAGCGUUGUUCCUUGAAACUCUAUACCUACUCAUGUGUUGUCUGUUGUAUGUAAAUAGAAGAAGAGGAAAAAAAGGAUAAUAUUUCACUGCCAUUUAAAACUGAGAAAUUACAGAGCUUAAAUAGGAAACAAAAACAUGAACUGAAAGAAAGAUAAAAAGACAGAUUAAGACUCUUGACUUUUGUAACUGAAAAACAACUUUUAAGACUCUACUAAUGCAGUAAUUAAAGACACAUGGCAGUGAUUAUUUUGAAUCAAUUAACCAACACUCCCCCUUGAUUCAAAGUUGCAUACUCCGAGCUGCAUUCUAAAGAACUCAUGUUUGGCUUGAGGAAGAGAUUUAGUGAAUAUAUCUGCUGUCUGCUCAUUUGUUCCACAAAAACUCAGUUUAAUCUUUCCAUCAGUGAUCAACUUGCGAAUAAAAUGGUAAUGCACAUCUAUAUGCUUCGUACAAGCAUGGAGAGUAGGGUUCUUGGCCAUUGCAAUGGUUGAUCUGUUGUCACAAAAUACCUCUGUUGCAUCUUCUUGCUCAACACACAAAUCAACAAGAACUUUUCGCAGCCAUAAGGCUUGUUGAGCUGCUGCGUUUGCUGCUAUGUACUCAGCUUCUGAUGACGAUAGAGCCACCGUAUCUUGCUUCUUAGAACUCCAUGUUACAGCUCCGGAACCAAAGCUGAAAACAUUGCCUGAUGUGCUUUUGCGAUCAUCUACCUACCCAGCCCAAUCACUAUUGCUGAAGCCAACCAGCCUAAAUUCAUAAACUCUUGAAUACCAGAUGCCAUAAUUCUUGGUACCUGCUACAUAAUGAAGAAUCCUCUUGGCUGCACCAAGAUGCAAUUUUGUAGGGUUGUGAAGAAACCUUGAUACUACGCUAACAGGAAAAGAAAUGUCCGGUCUACUAUGUGUCAGGUAGUUCAGACCACCAACUAGACUUCUAAACACACUUGAGUUUGUUUUAUCGGAUCCAUCUUCAUGUUGUAGCUUCUCAUUGAUGUUCAUUGGUGUUGUUGAUACUUUACCACCAGUCACAUUGAACUUUUUGAGCAGGUCCGUAGCAUACUUCUUUUGACAUAUAAAAAUUCCAUCUUUUCUUUGCAGCACUUCAAGCCCAAGAAAAUAUUUUAACAACCCUAAAUCUGUCAUCUCAAAUGUGCUCAUCAUGCAAGAUUUAAAAUCAUCAAUUAAGGACUUAGAUGUUCCCAUAUAGAUGAUAUCAUCCACGUAAAGACAGACUAACAAGAAUUCUCGAUUACCUUGUUGCUUAAGGUAAAGAGUGGGCUCAUUCUCACUUCUUUUGAAUCCGUUUUCUUGAAAGAAAGAAUCAAUCUUACUAUACCAUGCACGUGGAGCUUGCUUCAAACCGUACAAAGCCUUUCACAACUUGUAGGCUUUAUUUUCAGCAUCUUUAACAACAAAUCCUUGAGGUUGAGCUACAUACACUUCUUCACUUAACUCACCAUUCAAGAAGGCGGACUUCACAUCAAAUUGAAAAACAGGUAGUUGAAAUUGUGCAGCAAAUGCUAUAAUUAUUCUAACUGUCUCGAAUCUAGCCAUAGGGGAAAAUGUUUCCUCAUAGUCUAUACCAUAUUCUUGUGAAUACCCUUUCGCAACAAGGCGAGCUUUGUGUUUUUGAAGACUUCCAUCAGCAUUAUACUUUGUUCGAUAUACCCAUUUAAGUCCUACAACAUUCUUGUCUUUUGGAACAUCAACCAACUCCCAUGUUGAGUUUCUUUCAAUGGCUUGUAUUUCUUCUUUCAUAGCUUUCUGCCACUCAAGUUGCUGAACAGCUUCUUCAUAAUCGGUUGGAUAUGUUGCAUACAAGGCAAAUGUACAGGAGUUGUAAACAUCAGCCACGGAUUUGAACUUCUUCGGUGUAUCAUCAUAAGUGUCUCUCGGUGGUGGAUUAUUUGAUGAAUUGUCAUUAUCUGAAUCUGAACUUGAAGAAUCUGAUCUUGAAGAACCUUGAUCACCCUGGGGUAUUUCUGCAUUAUCUCCUGAACUUGUGGAUGGUACAUCUUCAAAGUUUAUAACCUGAUCUCUUUCUUUUUGGGUAUUAGGUAUCCACCUUGCUUCUUGGUUAAACUCAACAUUCCUGCUUAUUAUCACUUUGCCACUAAGAGGGUUAUAUAAACGAUAUGCUUUGGAUUGAGGACUAUACCCAAUGAAAAUACAUUUUAGAUAUUUUUCAUCAAGUUUUGAACGAGAAUUUACCAAAGCAUAUGCUACACAACAAAAGACUUUUAAGUGGCUUACUGUGGGUUUUCUACCUGUCCAAGCUUCAUAUGGUGUGCGAUUCAUAACAGCUCUAGUUGGAGAGAUAUUUAGAAUAUACACGGCAGUUGCAACAGCCUCUCCCCAAAACUGAUCAGACAGCUUCGCUUUCAGCAUGCUUCUUGCCAUUUCUUCUACUGUUCUAUUUUUCCUCUCUGCUACCCCGUUUUGUUGGGGUGUUUUAGGUGCUGUUAAUUGCCUGUAAAUGCCAUUUUUAUCACAAAAAUCAUUAAACUCAUUAGAUAAAAACUCGCCACCACGAUCAGUUCUGAGAGCCUUGAUGUUCCUGCCACUCUGUUUCUCUACAAGUGCUUUGAAAUUCUUGAAACACUCAAAGGCUUCUGACUUGAGUUUUAGGAAAUAAACCCAACUCAUACGACUGAAAUCAUCAGUAAGCAGGAAAAAAUACCGACUUCCGCCAAAUGUCUCAGCUUUCAUAGGACCACACAAGUCAGCAUGUACAAGUUCUAGGCAAUCUGAAGCUCUCCAAGAACUUGCAACGGGAAACGACUUUCUGCUUUGUUUUCCAUAAAUACACCCUUCACAAAAACCAACUUCACCAAUAUUUGGCAGUGAUGUGCACAAAAGUACCCACUAAUUUUAAUAUUUAUAACCUAACAAACUUAGACUAUCUAUGCACUUAUAGGCAGUGUACCUAGUCAGAUUACAGUAUAGCUUAGGUAAGUCGGGUGUCGAUCACAGGGAACGGUGGAUUAAUUUAAUAUAUUUGAUUAUAGGUUACAGGUCACACGAAAAGAAUAAAGAAAUAGUUUAAUAAAUCUCAAACUAACAAUUAAUUAACAACUCUCGAUAAACUAACAGGAAAGCAAAUCUCUUCAGGUACUUUGGUUUAAACAAAUUACACCUUAAAAACAUAGACAAUUGCAUACACAAAUUCAUUUAUUCAUGUUCACCGAUUCCUAAAAUGAUUAGAUUCAUGUUCACUAUAACUAAUCCUUUAGCAAACAAGUCAAUUCAAACAGUGAUCAGUUGAUUAAACUAACAUGCUUCCUAGUGUUCAGUUCGUAUCGAGCAAGACUUGUAAAUAUAGUUAAUCAAUUUAGACAUUUAAUUAACCUCUUGUUGAUGGUCAUCAAACAAGGCUCACACAUUAACUUACCUAUUCUCAAGUUAAUCCUAGUUUCACAUUCGUUAUUUCUAGUCUUAUAAUCUCGAUGGUCAUCAAAAAUCAUAAGAGACAAGCAAUCGAGCAGAUGUUCAAGCAACUCAAUUCACUUAACAAUUAACAGAAAAUAAUCAUCAUUAACACAUGAGGAUCUUUAAACAAGCUUGGCAAGAUAAAUUAAACACAAAUAAACUAUUUAAUAUAGCAAUUAGUCUAAUAAUCAAAGCUUCAUUCAAUCAUAAACACAAAGUAAAAGGUUUUUACACCUAAAUCAGAAACUUAAUACAUAAAAGUACCACAAUGGAAUGCUAAACAUGGUCAUGUCAGCAAUCCAUAUGAUAACCGACAUGUAUCCGCUCUCCAAUCCUUCCGAUCUCCGCUCCCGUUAGCUUAACGGCCUUCCGGCCGCCUUCUAGACCCUCAAAACGGCUUAACAGAAGUUAAUUGUCGACUAAAUUAGGUUAGAAGUCGAAUCCCCCUUCCUGGGUAGCUAAAAAUCGACAUUUAUAGUCUUUGUGGCCGACCUAAGUACGCGUACUUAGGAUUACGCAGCGCGUACUCAAGAUAAUCACGCGAUCAAGUUUAUCCGAGGCAAGUCUGUACGCGGCGCGUACCAUUUCAUUACGCGGGGCGUACUCGCUACCUCAGCAUUCUUUUCUUUCUUUUAGCUUCUAAGCCCGGUUUCCGCUUCAGUCUUUUCUUUUGUGCUUUAUCGACAACAAAUAGCUGCAAAACAUAAUUCAAAGUAUUAUGAGUACUUUUUAGUUCUAAAAUAGAAUAAAUAAGGCCAAAAUAUUAAGAUAAAGUGUAUAAAAAUAUAUAUAAAAAUACACAUAUCAAAAUACCCCACACUUAGCCUUUGCUUGCCCCCAAGCAAAUUUGCUUUUAUUUUACCAAUAUCGCACUAAACAAUCCAUUUAAAACUCAGCCAUUAUGCCAAGACCUCAAUGCGUACAUUUGUGUCUAAUAUUUUCCUAAAGUACCCCCCCCCCCCAUAUUUUAAAUACUCACAAUCUUCAUAAACACUCGCCCACUUUUUCCGAACAAUGCUCAUUUUAUGCAACCCUCCGAAUCCAUCCGCAGAAAACCUCCUAACCUCAAAGUAUUUUUAGUUGAGCAACCUAAGCAUACAUAAUCUAGAAUUACAAUUUUCCGAUACCACUAUGGAGCUUUAUUUGAAUUCUUCAUUUCUUUGGCAUUUUGAUCUUUGAUUUCUUUGAAUUCAACACCUUAUUUGAUUUGAUUUUUGGUAUCUUCAACUUUUUGGAUUUCUUCAGAAUUUUGAUCUUUUGAUCUUCACUUUAUUUGCUCCAAAAUUCUUCAAACUUUUUUCGUAAUUCUCUUUUUUUUUUUUCACCUGUAACUCACUUUUUUUUUUACUCAAAACCUACAUGCUUAAGCAGAGGCGCUCAACCUCAACCUUUAUUGGUUAAUGAUAAUAAUUUUCCUGGAUACAUUUCAGGUUUAGGCUGCUAAACAUAUUGCAUCCCUCAAACCAAGCGGGGUUGUGUUUUUGUUCCAUGAUUUCAUUAAAAUAAGGGAGACCACAAAUGCACUAUAACGUGUAUUGGCUCAACUAAACAUUUGAGUUCUCAUCGGAUCAUUUCAUACAAUAUUAGCAAAAUUUAAAUUAUAACUAGAUUUUCUAAAUUAAACUAUUAUUUCAAGUUUUUUUGUUUUUUUUUUCUUCAAAUUUUUAAAUUUUCUAAAAUCUAGCAAUUUCAUUUUUUUCUUAAUUUUAAUUUACUUUUACCGACCCCCUACCCCACUUAUUUCAUACAAUGCCCUCAUUGUAUGCUAAAACAAAUUAAGAACAUAAAAAGGGAGAAAAAGGAACAGACUCCCCUGGGUAGUUGUGGCGAGAUCGAAUGGGGCUGCUACAAGUUGCUUCAAAUAUCGCCGAAAGACUGAAAACUGGAACUGCUGCCUCUGAAUUUGCCGAAAAAUAAAAUCAAGACCGCCAUCUUCGAAAAUGUGGUGCAAAAUAUUGCAAAUAAAUGCAAUGUAAAGUAACCAUGACGUGGGAAAGUGUCGACCACGUCGUCUCGUCGAGAAUGACAUCCUCUACUUGCGAUGAAAAAUCCCCCAUAACAUAGGAAAGUGUCAACCAUGUCGUGGCAGCCGGGACGAUACUUCUUCCUCGCGUCGAAAUAAAACUCUAUGGUGUGGGAAGAAAUAAAUAUGCACCCCACACUUAUGACAAAUCGUGGGUCUCGACUAUAAUCUUCAACUCUCAUACCGCUCUCUCUAGCAACAGUUGGACCUAGCUGCUGAACUUACUGCCAGCUUCCUAAGGGCGAAAAUUCUGCAGAAAUCUAAACAACCAAAGAGCAUCAACUUGGAAAACAAAAUUAAAACAAACUAAAUCAAAGUUUAAUUACAUACCAAAUACUAAAAACUAAACUAAACUAAAAAUAACACAAAACAAACAAAUAAACAAAAUAAAAAGGAUCACUCGUCAUCUCCAUCAUCAUGUGGCUGUGUCCCAGAAGUACCGGCCCCAUCAAAUCGUGACUGGAAUGGUGGUGGAAAGGGAACCGAAUACUGAAACCCCUGGUGGGUAAAGAAUGCGUUCAACGCAUUCCCAUACCACUGCUGUUGCAUGUCCACAUGUGCAACAUACUCACUAAGACAAUCAAUGCCCUGAGCCAGGUAGCGCAUAUCAAAACAGAAGGUACUCGGCGAGUAGCAGAAUCAACUCGCCGAGUAGGUCCAUACUUAUCCGUCUUGAAUUAGCAGUCGUAUUUAUCUUCUGGCAUAUCGUCGUGCACUCGCCGAGUAGGGUCGAUCUACUCGCCGAGUAGAACUCAUUCUUUCACUCUUUAAUCUUCACUUGCUUUCCUUUUCUCCUUUUUGCCUCCAAGCAUAUCUUUUGGACUGAAAACACAAUUCACAACAUUUUAAGUACCUUUUGUCCACAUUAUUCUCAUAAUUAAUCAAAAAUAACUAAGAAUAUAUGUUAAAUAAUUAACUAAUUAUGCACAUAUCAAAAUACCCCACACUUGACUUUUGCUUGCCCCCAAGCAAAACUAAAUUUUAAACACAUUAAAAUCACAUUAAUAACUCCAAUCCAACCCAGCCAUUAUGCCAAGACCGCAACGCAUGCAUUUGUGUCUAAAAUUCCUAAAAACCCCCCAUACUUCAAAUACUCACAAUCCUCAUAAACAUUCGCCCACUCACCCCGAACUAUGCUCAUUUUAUGCAACCCUCCGAAUCCAUCCUCAGAAAAUCUCUUUACCCUCAAGGUAUUUUUAAUUUGAGCAAUCCAAGCAUACAUAUUCUAGAAUUACAACUUUUCGAUACCACUAUGGAAUUCUUUGAAUUCUUCACUUUCUUGAUAAUUUGAUCUUUGAUAUCUUUGAAUUCACCAACUUGUAUUGACUUUUGGUAUCUUCAACUUUUUGGAUUUCUUGGAAUUUUGAUCUUCAGAUCUUCACUUCAUUUGCUCCAAAAUUCCUAUAACUUUUCUAGCAAUUCUUUUUUUUUUUCAUGUAUUUCUCAAUAUAUUUUUUUUUCACUCAAAUCCCUACAUGCUUAAGCAGGGGCGCUCAAUCUCAACCUUUAUUGGCUAAUGAUAAAAACUUUCCUGGAUACAUUUCAGGUUUAGGCUGCUAAACAUAUUGCAUCCCUCAGGCUGAGCAAGGUCGUGUUUUUGUCUCAUGAUUUCACUGAAAUAAGGAAGCCACAAAUGCACUAGAACGUGUAUAGGCUCAACUAAACAUUUGGGUUCUCAUGCAAUUAUUAACACAAUUCUAAUAUGGAAUCCUAAUUUUUACCAAAAUUUUCUAAUUUAAGACCUAAGCAUU
Molecule: non-coding RNA, 9501 nt
Organism: Lactuca sativa (garden lettuce)
Lineage: Eukaryota; Viridiplantae; Streptophyta; Magnoliopsida; Asterales; Asteraceae
Source: RefSeq, a predicted model, not a curated record